RNAcentral lists this ribosomal RNA (492 nucleotides) under uncultured bacterium. RNAcentral describes it as "partial 16S ribosomal RNA". It matches the Rfam family "Bacterial small subunit ribosomal RNA", at positions 29 to 507 of the family's 1533-position model. The record is from RNAcentral.
AGUGAACGCUGGCGGUAGGCCUAACACAUGCAAGUCGAACGGCAGCACAGUAAGAGCUUGCUCUUACGGGUGUCGAGUGGCGGACGGGUGAGUAAUACAUCGGAAUCUACUUUUUCGUGGGGGAUAACGUAGGGAAACUUACGCUAAUACCGCAUACGACCUACUGGUGAAAGCAGGGGAUCUUCGGACCUUGCGCGAUUGAAUGAGCCGAUGUCGGAUUAGCUAGUUGGCGGGGUAAAGGCCCACCAAGGCGACGAUCCGUAGCUGGUCUGAGAGGAUGAUCAGCCACACUGGAACUGAGACACGGUCCAGACUCCUACGGGAGGCAGCAGUGGGGAAUAUUGGACAAUGGGCGCAAGCCUGAUCCAGCCAUACCGCGUGGGUGAAGAAGGCCUUCUGGUUUUAAAGCCCUUUUGUUGGGAAAGAUAAGCAGCAGGUUAAUACCCCGCUGUUCUGACGGUACCCAAAGAAUAAGCACCGGCUAACUUCGUG